CAUUCACAAAAAAGGGCCCACAACCCUCCUCGGGGCCCUCAACCGAGGCCUCUCAUUGGCCAGGGCGGCGUGACGUCACGGAGACGGGGCCUUUCUACAGGCAGGUACCCGGUGACGCCAUAAAGAAAAGUCUGCGCGGUUUCACCAAUCAGAGAGAAGGUGUGCUCACGACCCCUCGGGCUGCCCACCAACUUUGUCUCUGUGCCCUGCGGGUGCCCGCAUGCCGGCUCCGGCUUCCUGCUGUGAGUCCCCGAGCCCUGCCCUGCGCAGCCCUGCCCUGGUGACUCGCCAGGUCUCUGGCGUGUGGAUGUUUGAAAUAUCUCUGGGUUUUCCUUGUAAUUCGCGCCCAGCGAAGGAGGCUCCUGCCAUGGCUGCCGGAGGGAAGCGUGGGGACUGCCCCAACUGUCCGCAGUGGAGAGGUCUUAAGGUGGAGUCAUCUCGGAACUUAACCACUUCAACCAGCCCGGUGCCGUGGACCUGCGUACGCCCAGCGCUCAAAGACCCCCGGGGCCGCGGAGCUGACGGAACCAGUGGGAACGCGACGCACCUCGGUUUGCACCGUCCAGCGCCUCAUCCCGGGACCCGGGGCCGCCUUAACUCGGUGGCUUUCUGCACGGCUGCUGUGGACGUCUGAGGUGCCCACAGGCCCGCUUGUACUGUGAAGCAUUGCAGCAAGUUGCAAACUCAGUUCUUCAACUUUCUUCUUGCAAAUUGCAGGGUCGCAUCCCCUUCUUUUCCUUGUGGGUUAACCACUGGCUGAUCUCUGGAACUGAACCGCGCUUCUCAUUCUGGAGGGCCUUAAGGCCAACGUCCGCGACAGCGUCCAGCAGGGCGAGACUCUGGAAGGCAAUCUUUCCAGAAUCGGCGGCCCCAAGGUCUACAUGCCCAAGCUGUUCCUAUGUGUCACCCGCAUUUUAACAGCGUUUCCGGCAGCCCAGCGAUUACCGCCUGACUUCGGCAGAGAAUAAGGUUUUCAGUGCGUGCUCCCGGGAAGCCUUUCAGAAACGUAGAUUUCCCCAGUGUCGGGGAGGGCCACUUGACUUCCAUUGUUGUGGAUUUUCCCUAAAGUCCUGCUAAAUGAGGAAGGAGGGGACUGAGCGGCGGUUUCCGCGGCCUGGAACCAGAGAUCGCGACUGCUGAAUUUGUGUUUCUUAAGCUCAAUGCUCCGUGCUUUCUUCCCCUGUUUCCCAGGAGGAAAUGGUGAAGGCCUUAGGUCUAAAAUGGCCUAAGCGGUUUGCCUCAGGGGCCUGUGGAGCGCUAGGUAAGUUCACUCUGAGAGCAAUAUGGAGCAUCCUUCUUCAUGUUUAUUUCAGGUUGAGGGACCCUCAUUUGACAGGUCAAGGUCGUUAUCUCUGCUACCUAGUGUGAUUUGGAAUCCUUGUGACUCCAAAGUGUGGAGGGACAGGCACCAUCUUCACAGGUGAGACCAACACCAAGGGCUCCUAGCUGGCCUUCUGAAAGGAAGUGACCUCUCUACCUGCAUAAAUGUCAGAAUGUCGGGUUGAUUUCUUUGGAUGUCAGACCGACCCUAAUGAAGACUUUUUUUUU
Non-coding RNA from Ictidomys tridecemlineatus (thirteen-lined ground squirrel), 1548 nucleotides. NCBI's taxonomy places the organism in Eukaryota, Metazoa, Chordata, Mammalia, Rodentia, Sciuridae. The record is from RefSeq and is a predicted model, not a curated record.